Molecule: ribosomal RNA, 441 nt
Filed under: uncultured bacterium
Lineage: Bacteria
Description: partial 16S ribosomal RNA
Rfam family: Bacterial small subunit ribosomal RNA
Source: RNAcentral
CCUACGGGUGGCAGCAGUGGGGGAUAUUGCACAAUGGGGGGAACCCUGAUGCAGCGACGCCGCGUGGGUGAAGGAGUGCUUCGGCAUGUAAAGCCCUAUCGGCAGGGAAGAAGCAAGACGGUACCUGACUAAGAAGCCCCGGCUAACUACGUGCCAGCAGCCGCGGUAAUACGUAGGGGGCGAGCGUUAUCCGGAUUCACUGGGUGUAAAGGGAGCGUAGACGGCCAUGCAAGCCAGGGGUGAAAGCCCGGGGCCCAACCCCGGGCCUGCCCUUGGAACUGUGCGGCUAGAGUGCGGGAGGGGCAGGCGGAAUUCCUGGUGUAGCGGGGAAAUGCGGAGAUAGCAGGAGGAACACCGGCGGCGAAGGCGGCCUGCUGGACCGCGACUGACGUUGAGGCUCGAAAGCGUGGGGAGCGAACAGGAUUAGAUACCCGGGUAGUC